Molecule: ribosomal RNA, 761 nt
Filed under: Alloprevotella tannerae
Lineage: Bacteria; Pseudomonadati; Bacteroidota; Bacteroidia; Bacteroidales; Prevotellaceae
Description: bacterial SSU rRNA
Rfam family: Bacterial small subunit ribosomal RNA
Source: RNAcentral
GAUGAACGCUAGCUACAGGCUUAACACAUGCAAGUCGUGGGGCAGCGGAUACUUAGCUUGCUAAGUAUGCCGGCGACCGGCGCACGGGUGAGUAACGCGUACCGAACCUGCCCAUCACACAGGGAUAGGCUUGCGAAAGCAAGAUUAAUAUCUGAUGGUCUCAGUUGUAUGCAUGUAUGAUUGAGUAAAGCCUUCGGGCGGUGAUGGAUGGCGGUGCGUCCCAUUAGGAAGUUGGCGGGGUAACGGCCCACCAAUCCUUCGAUGGGUAGGGGUUCUGAGAGGAAGGUCCCCCACAUUGGAACUGAGAUACGGUCCAAACUCCUACGGGAGGCAGCAGUGAGGAAUAUUGGUCAAUGGGCGAGAGCCUGAACCAGCCAAGUAGCGUGCGGGAUGAAGGCCCUUGUGGUCGUAAACCGCUUUUAUCAGUGAAUAAAGUGCACCACGUGUGGUGUCAUUGCAGGUAGCUGAAGAAAAAGGACCGGCUAAUUCCGUGCCAGCAGCCGCGGUAAUACGGAAGGUCCGGGCGUUAUCCGGAAUUAUUGGGUUUAAAGGGAGCGCAGGCGGGAGUAUAAGUCAGCUGUUAAAUAUCAGGGCCCAACUCUGUUAUGCAGUUGAAACUAUAUUUCUUGAGUACGCACAGGGAUGGCGGAAUUCAGGGUGUAGCGGUGAAAUGCUUAGAUAUCCUGAAGAACUCCGAUCGCGAAGGCAGCCAUCCGGAGCGUAACUGACGCUGAGGCUCGAAGGUGCGGGUAUCGAACAGG